RNAcentral lists this ribosomal RNA (460 nucleotides) under uncultured bacterium. Its description in RNAcentral is "partial 16S ribosomal RNA". It matches the Rfam family "Bacterial small subunit ribosomal RNA", at positions 338 to 795 of the family's 1533-position model. The record is from RNAcentral.
CCUACGGGUGGCAGCAGUGAGGAAUAUUGGUCAAUGGGCGCGAGCCUGAACCAGCCAAGUAGCGUGAAGGAUGACUGCCCUACGGGUUGUAAACUUCUUUUAUAAAGGAAUAAAGUGAGGCACGUGUGCCUUUUUGUAUGUACUUUAUGAAUAAAGCUCGGCUAAAUCCGUGCCAGCAGCCGCGGUUAUACGGAGGGUCCGGGCGUUUACCGGAUUUUAUGGGGUUAAAGGGAGCGUAGAUGGGUAGUUAAGUCAGUUGUUAAAGUUUGCGGCUCAACCGUAGAAUUGCAAUUGAUACUGGCAGUCUUGAGUACAGUAGAGGUAGGCGGAAUUCGUGGUGUAGCGGUGAAAUGCUUAGAUAUCACGAAGAACUCCGAUUGCGAAGGCAGCUUACUAAACUGCCACUGACAUUGAUGCUCGAAAGUGUGGGUAUCAAACAGGAUUAGAUACCCUUGUAGUC